Molecule: ribosomal RNA, 456 nt
Filed under: Phoma sp. E14029b
Lineage: Eukaryota; Fungi; Ascomycota; Dothideomycetes; Pleosporales; Didymellaceae
Description: eukaryotic LSU rRNA
Rfam family: 5.8S ribosomal RNA (bases 124-277)
Source: RNAcentral
UUGCCUGCUAUCUCUUACCCAUGUCUUUUGAGUACCUUCGUUUCCUCGGCGGGUCCGCCCGCCGAUUGGACAAUUUAAACCAUUUGCAGUUGCAAUCAGCGUCUGAAAAACUUUAAUAGUUACAACUUUCAACAACGGAUCUCUUGGUUCUGGCAUCGAUGAAGAACGCAGCGAAAUGCGAUAAGUAGUGUGAAUUGCAGAAUUCAGUGAAUCAUCGAAUCUUUGAACGCACAUUGCGCCCCUUGGUAUUCCAUGGGGCAUGCCUGUUCGAGCGUCAUUUGUACCUUCAAGCUCUGCUUGGUGUUGGGUGUUUGUCUCGCCUCUGCGUGUAGACUCGCCUCAAAACAAUUGGCAGCCGGCGUAUUGAUUUCGGAGCGCAGUACAUCUCGCGCUUUGCACUCAUAACGACGACGUCCAAAAGUACAUUUUUACACUCUUGACCUCGGAUCAGGUAGG